AUUGAACGCUGGCGGAAUGCUUUACACAUGCAAGUCGAGCGGCAGCGCGGGGCAACCUGGCGGCGAGCGGCGAACGGGUGAGUAAUACAUCGGAACGUGCCCAGACGUGGGGGAUAACUACUCGAAAGAGUGGCUAAUACCGCAUACGAUCUAAGGAUGAAAGCGGGGGAUCGCAAGACCUCGCGCGUUUGGAGCGGCCGAUGGCAGAUUAGGUAGUUGGUGGGGUAAAGGCUUACCAAGCCCGCGAUCUGUAGCUGGUCUGAGAGGAUGAUCAGCCACACUGGGACUGAGACACGGCCCAGACUCCUACGGGAGGCAGCAGU
This 323-nucleotide ribosomal RNA is filed under the name uncultured bacterium. Its description in RNAcentral is "bacterial SSU rRNA". It matches the Rfam family "Bacterial small subunit ribosomal RNA", at positions 30 to 355 of the family's 1533-position model. The record is from RNAcentral.